RNAcentral lists this long non-coding RNA (327 nucleotides) under Brassica napus (rape). RNAcentral describes it as "long non-coding RNA (BNAP_LNC008888)". Lineage: Eukaryota; Viridiplantae; Streptophyta; Magnoliopsida; Brassicales; Brassicaceae. The record is from RNAcentral.
GUUUUUGUUCCCAAACUAGCACUCAAGGUCAAAAGUCAUAAAAAUAGCACUCAAGGGGUGGGGUUUAGGGUUUAGAAUUUAGGGUUUAGAGUUUAGGUUUUAGGGUUUAGAGUUGAGAAGUGAGGUUUUGGGGAUAAGAUUUCAAAUUUUGAAAGAUAAAAAAAAUUAAAUUUUUCAAAAGAUAAAAUGCUAUUUUGGUCAUCUUAGUUUUUGAGUGCUAUUUUUGUGAUAUAAACUUAGAAAUGUGCUAUUUUGGAGAUUUGCCCUUUAAACAAAGAAAACCGAAUUUCUGCAUAAGGAUUUCCUUCCGUUUUGCUCGAAUAUUAA